GCAAGUCGAGCGGUAACAGAUCCAGCUUGCUGGAUGCUGACGAGCGGCGGAUGGGUGAGUAAUGCAUAGGAAUCUGCCCGAUAGUGGGGGAUAACCUGGGGAAACCCAGGCUAAUACCGCAUACGUCCUACGGGAGAAAGGGGGCUCCGGCUCCCGCUAUGGGAUGAGCCUAUGUCGGAUUAGCUAGUUGGUGAGGUAACGGCUCACCAAGGCCGCGAUCCGUAGCUGGUUUUAGAGGAUGAUC
Molecule: ribosomal RNA, 244 nt
Filed under: uncultured bacterium
Lineage: Bacteria
Description: partial 16S ribosomal RNA
Rfam family: Bacterial small subunit ribosomal RNA
Source: RNAcentral